Ipomoea nil (Japanese morning glory) is the source of this 72-nucleotide transfer RNA. It matches the Rfam family "tRNA". From Rfam's summary of the family: Transfer RNA (tRNA) molecules are approximately 80 nucleotides in length. Their secondary structure includes four short double-helical elements and three loops (D, anti-codon, and T loops). Lineage: Eukaryota; Viridiplantae; Streptophyta; Magnoliopsida; Solanales; Convolvulaceae. The record is from Rfam.
GGGUCUUUAGCUCAGUGUUAGAGCAUUUGACUGCAGAUCAAGAGGUCACCGGUUCAAACCCGGUAGGGCCCU